AGCGAACGCUGGCGGCAGGCCUAACACAUGCAAGUCGAACGAACCUUUCGGGGUUGGUGGCGGACGGGGGGGUAAAAGGUGGAAACGUGCCUUUAGGCUUGGCAUAACGCAGGGGAAAUUGUGCUAAUACCGGGAGUGCUAUCGCGGGCGAAGUUUAAUCGCCUUUAGAGGGGCCCGCGUCUGAUUAGCUAGUUGGUGGUGGUAAUGGCUCACCAAGGCGACGAUCAGUAGAUGGUCUGAGAGGAUGAUCAGCCACAUUGGGACUGAGACACGGCCCAAACUCCUGCGGGAGGCAGCAGUGGGGAAUCCUGCGCAAUGGGCUAAAGCAUGACGCAGCCAUGCCGCGUGAAUGAUGAAGGUCUUAGGAAUGUAAAAUUCUUUCACCGGGGACGAUAAUGACGGUACCCGAAGAAGAAGCCCCGGCUAACUUCGUG
Molecule: ribosomal RNA, 434 nt
Filed under: uncultured bacterium
Lineage: Bacteria
Description: partial 16S ribosomal RNA
Rfam family: Bacterial small subunit ribosomal RNA
Source: RNAcentral